UACAGAGGGUGCGAGCGUUAAUCGGAAUUACUGGGCGUAAAGCGCGCGUAGGCGGCUUUGCAAGUCGGGUGUGAAAUCCCCAGGCUUAACCUGGGAACUGCAUUCGAGACUGCAUUGCUAGAGUAUGGGAGGGGGAAGUGGAAUUUCCGGUGUAGCGGUGAAAUGCGUAGAUAUCGGAAGGAACAUCAGUGGCGAAAGCGACUUCCUGGACCAAUACUGACGCUCAUGUGCGAAAGCGUGGGGAGCAAACAGG
Molecule: ribosomal RNA, 253 nt
Filed under: uncultured bacterium
Lineage: Bacteria
Description: partial 16S ribosomal RNA
Rfam family: Bacterial small subunit ribosomal RNA
Source: RNAcentral